UUAGUCCUGUAUUGUUGGAUCCUGUAUAGCUCGCUGUGUGACCACAGCUCCUAGAGAGGCAGCCAGGGUGAGCAGGGGCAGGGGCAGGGGCUGGGAGGACCUCCUUUUCUGACAGCAGCACAGAUCUUAGGCUAGAUUGAGGUGGACUGUUAGCUAACUGGGACAGCAGCAGUGACUGCAUAUGUUCAGGAUUGUAUUACAGUUUUUCCAUUCUCUAGGAGGCAAAGAUGCUGUAGUUCCGAAUGUAAAGAUACUUAACUUCCACCUGGCUUAGAGGAGCCAGGAAUUGGUUUAUUUAUAGAAUAUGUCCUACUGGUCUAAAAAUAAAUGUUACUUUACAGUCUGGGAUCUUCCUUGGCAGUAUAAAGCCCUCUGCUCUUUUGGUACAGCUGAAAAGUACAUUGGAUUGUCCUAAGUAGCCUCUGUAGUUCCUGCCGGCUUAGAGAAUUUGGGCAGCAGUUAGAAGAGAUGUACUUGAUUGAACUCCGAAGCGGUACCACACCAGGGAACAUACGUUUGGAAUUGCACUUUUAAUGCUGUUCUUUAAUGCUGUGCCACAAUGUGUGAGAUGAACACUGCUAGACUUGGUGCAGGCCUAAUAGCCAAACUGAGGCUGCUGCUGGAAUUUACAGUAGCCCCAAAUGAGCUUGUUCAUACACUAGAUGAUAAAUGUUAAUUCCUUGUCCCCACGGCUGCUGUUGAGAGGCUCUUUCCUUUGCCAUCUACCUGUGCACAUAGGAUACUGAACGUUAUGGUCUGUUGCCAAAGACGAAAAGAGCCAAAGGGGAGAUCGGGGGUGAAGUUCUCUUCUGCUUUGUAGGAGCCUCUUCCAGUGCUGGGAUGGUCAGCUGAAAGAUGAUGCCUUGUUUUCGAUGGGAAUCAGAUUGGGCUCCACACCAGGGGUAGUAGGGCAACCCUUCCCCGUGUCCCUGUGCUCCUGCUAGGUGCGUGCACAGCCUCAGUGCUGACCUCAGUGAAGUCCUGCAUGGAGGUGUAAGACCUCUGCAAGAGCUUUGGGUUUUCCUAUAUCUAAUAUUGUGCAUGUGUUAAAUUAGUAGUACUUUAGCUGUGUAGAUAAAAAAUACUGAGUAGAGACGGUGUGUCCUUACCCAUGCAGCCAAUAAGGCAGAGAAUCAGGGCUUGCGUAGACAUGUUUAGGCUCAGGAUGGACUUUUGCGGAGUUCAUCCUUGGCUUUGGCUGAAAGCAUGAGAAAUUCCUGCCCAGCCAGCACGGGGCAAUCAGAGGCACUCUCCACUUUGCACUUCGUGUUUCCUUCUUUUGAAUAGCUUUCAAAUCAUGAUGACUGUGCAGGUGAACAGCUGUCCUGGGAGUUCAGCCAUUCAAAGAAGGAGGCUUUUCUGCUGUGUGCAAUCACAGCACAAGGACAAUUCAGUUUCUGUUACCUCGUUUAUUUCUGCGUGCAUACAAAAGUGGAAAAGACCCAGACCAAUUAAAACGAUUCUCUACCAAAAAAAAAAAAAAAAAAGCUGAUUUUAUUUCAUGGGUAAAGAUAAACGUAGUAGCUUGAUGGUGUCCUUGCAGAGAUUCAGAAAUUACUGAUGACAUGUUUUUGUUUCUGGGAAUGUUUAAAUUUGACUUAGUUCUCUUACCUUCACUAUAAAGUAUCACGAAUUGUGAGGUCUCUUCACUGUUAAGUUGUGUAUUUACAAAGGUCUGAAUGCGCCCAGCAGAUGUUUGGCUUUGUGCAGAUACUUAACACGUUGGCUUGGCGGUCCAGCGGCCCAGUGAUGUACCCUUAAGUACAUACAAAGCACAGCACUGGGCUGUUUGACCUCUGCAGCACUCUCUGGGUAUUCAGGACUGGUUGUGAAAUGGCAGGAUUGUUCAGGAUGGCAGCUUCUUGUUAUUGAAGUUGUUACUUGUGGGGAGCAGAGCUUUGUAAAUUUUAGAGAUGAUGUGCGACCGAAUAAUCAUUGGCAGUUGUAUCUGCUUUAAAAUUUCCACUCUCUUGAGCUGCUGGAUGGAGCACGUCCAGUAAAAACAUCUUCCCCUUCACAAUAACCGCCCACUUCCAUUUGCUCAUGAAAAGAAGAAAUUUUCAGUAGACAGGACUGUACAUAAUGCUGCGUUCAUGAACCAGUGUCAUAACCCCAUGACUUACUGAGUGUAUGAAGCCAGAGCCCAGGCAAGUAAUGACUUAUUCAGAGCUGCCAAGUCAAAGCAGUGGGGUUGGAGAGUGAUGGGUAUCAGCGUGGGUCAAACUGAAAUAGCUUUUAUUCAUCAUUUUCUGUUAAAUGAACAAACAAAAUAGCUGUGGUCAAUCCAAAACCGAACACAACACAUGCAGAAGGUCUUUUUUUGUUGUUGUUUUUUGGUUGGGUUUUUUUUUUUUUUUUUUUAAUUUUGCUUUUGGGAUUAAGUUCCAUUUUUAAGAAGGCUGUUUUGAAAUGAAGUUUUUUUUUUUUAAAAAAAACCCUUUUAUUAUGUUUUGGCAUUUGUGAAAUUAACAGUUCGGGGUUGUGUUCUUUUCUUGUUUUGUUUUAGGCUCACAUGUAAAAAAAAAACCCGUACCUGUUUGGUGGAUACCAAGGGCAGGUCCAGCUCUCAACCUGCAUCCUCGCAGUGUCACGCAGUGACCCCCUUCCAGCAUUUCAAUUUGGCCGUGUGGGUUUCAUUUGUAUCUUCUUGCGGCAAAGGGAAAACUGGCUCAUUGCAUGGUGUUGUCUGUAGAUAAUCAAAAUACUGUUUGCAGCAGUGCCAGCCGUCGUCUCUAAAAGCACUUAAAACUAUUAAUGUGUUUACUGUGGUUAUUUAUGACCUUGCAGCCAUCCAUUACUCUCUUUUCUUUUCACACCAUCCAUCAGACUCGCUUACCUCCCCUUCUUUCAUUCCGUUGCGAGUCAAGAGGCGGGUCUCCCCGUUUCCCCCUGGGUUUGCUCCCAGUCUGUGUUACACAUGGCAUACAGGGUGGCUAACGUAUGACUUGAAGUAACUUAUGACACAAAUCCAUUACGGAAGGUGUUAACAACACAACCGCUCAAGUACAUGGCAUACCUGAUGCCCCCGCUAGGGCAGGAAUCGAAACUCCCUGCUGUGCCGUGCUUCACAAAUGACACUCACUGUUUCUCUCUGUACUGGUUUUAUUUGAUUUUGAAAAUGAGAGUAUGUUCAGUUUGUUGCUGUGUGUCAAUAUUAAGUAUAUAUUUAUUGUUUUUCAGACAUACAUACGUAUAUAUAAAUGCUAUAUAUAUAUAUAUAAAAUGUCAACGCAUGGACAUAUGUACAGUAGAUAUUUUAAAGAGCUAUUUAUCAAGAAAAGUAAGUGUUAUAAGUAAACAGAGUUUAUAUUUUAUAUAUUAUGUAGAUAGCAAAACAACAAAACAAAACAAAAAGCCACAAAAAAAAAAAAGAAGUGUUUAAAUUAUAGUAGGACUUUUUGGGGUGGUGGGGGGGGGUGGGGUUGGAGGGACGGUGAGGGCCGGUUCCAGCAUUUUAAACAGCCAAACUACUUUGUACGGAAGCUGCCUGCUGUGCCUCUCGGCUGCAAUAUCUGUUUGUUUCUUCUUCUGGAAGAUGAUGUGCAUUGUUACUUUUACAUUGCUUGGGGAAUGUAGUUAGUUUAUUCUCAGCCAACUGGUAUGUGCUGCUUAAAUCAUGGUUUCCUGUUGUUCUGCAUAUUUGCAUCGAUGGAAUAAAAGGAUCUUAACUGGCAAAUAAAGACAUAAAAGG
This is a long non-coding RNA of Gallus gallus (chicken), 3691 nucleotides long. The record is from Ensembl. NCBI's taxonomy places the organism in Eukaryota, Metazoa, Chordata, Aves, Galliformes, Phasianidae.